This 440-nucleotide ribosomal RNA is filed under the name uncultured bacterium. RNAcentral's name for it is "partial 16S ribosomal RNA". It matches the Rfam family "Bacterial small subunit ribosomal RNA", at positions 338 to 795 of the family's 1533-position model. The record is from RNAcentral.
CCUACGGGAGGCAGCAGUGGGGGAUAUUGCACAAUGGGGGGAACCCUGAUGCAGCGACGCCGCGUGGGUGAAGAAGCGCCUCGGCGCGUAAAGCCCUGUCAGCAGGGAAGAAAAUGACGGUACCUGAAGAAGAAGCCCCGGCUAACUACGUGCCAGCAGCCGCGGUAAUACGUAGGGGGCAAGCGUUAUCCGGAUUUACUGGGUGGAAAGGGGGCGCAGACGGCGAUGCAAGCCAGGAGUGAAAGCCCGGGGCCCAACCCCGGGACUGCUCUUGGAACUGCGUGGCUGGAGUGCAGGAGGGGCAGGCGGAAUUCCUGGUGUAGCGGUGAAAUGCGUAGAUAUCAGGAGGAACACCGGUGGCGAAGGCGGCCUGCUGGACUGCAACUGACGUUGAGGCCCGAAAGCGUGGGGAGCAAACAGGAGUAGAUACCCUAGUAGUC